CGGGUGAGUAACACGUAUCCAACCUUCCCAUAACUCAGGGAUAGCCUUUCGAAAGAAAGAUUAAUACCUGAUAGUACUUUUUCAAGGCAUCUUGAAAAAGUUAAAGAUUUAUUGGUUAUGGAUGGGAUGCGUUCAUUAGAUAGUUGGUGAGGUAACGGCUCACCAAGUCUUCGAUGGAUAGGGGUCUGAGAGGAAGGUCCCCCACAUUGGUACUGAGACACGGACCAAACUCCUACGGGAGGCAGCAGUGAGGAAUAUUGGUCAAUGGGCGAGAGCCUGAACCAGCCAAGUAGCGUGAAGGAAUGAAGGUCCUAUGGAUUGUAAACUUCUUUUAUAGUAGAAUAAAGUGAGCCACGUGUGGUUUUUUGUAUGUAUACUAUGAAUAAGGAUCGGCUAACUCCGUGCCAGCAGCCGC
Molecule: ribosomal RNA, 415 nt
Filed under: uncultured bacterium
Lineage: Bacteria
Description: bacterial SSU rRNA
Rfam family: Bacterial small subunit ribosomal RNA
Source: RNAcentral